RNAcentral lists this ribosomal RNA (648 nucleotides) under fungal endophyte. RNAcentral's name for it is "eukaryotic LSU rRNA". The stretch from base 182 to 335 matches the Rfam family "5.8S ribosomal RNA". The record is from RNAcentral. Lineage: Eukaryota; Fungi.
CAUUAAAGAGUUCUAUAACUCCCAAACCCAUGUGAACAUACCUAACGUUGCCUCGGCAGGUCGCACCUACCUUGUAGCACCCUACCCUGUAGGGCCUACCCGGGAGGUGCGGGUAAGCCUGCCGGCGGCCCACCAAACUCUGUUUGAUAUUGAAUUCUGAACCUAUAACUAAAUAAGUUAAAACUUUCAACAACGGAUCUCUUGGUUCUGGCAUCGAUGAAGAACGCAGCGAAAUGCGAUAAGUAAUGUGAAUUGCAGAAUUCAGUGAAUCAUCGAAUCUUUGAACGCAUAUUGCGCCCAUUAGUAUUCUAGUGGGCAGGACCGUUCGAGCGUCAUUUCAACCCUUAAGCCUUCGUUGCUUAGUGUUGGGAGCCUACGGCAACGUAGCUCCUCAAAGUUAGUGGCGGAGUUGGUUCACACUCUAGACGUAGUAAUUUUUUAUCUCGCCUAUUAGUUGGACUAAUCCCCUGCCGUAAAACCCCCAAUUUAUCAAGGUUGACCUCGAAUCGGUUCAGACAAACUCGCUAAAUUGAAGCAUCUUAGUCAGCGAAGGAAAAGAAACCAACAGGGAUUGCCCUAGUAACGGCGAGUGAAGCGGCAACAGCUCAAAUUUGAAAUCUGGCCCUCGGGUCCGAGUUGUAAUUUGUA